AUUGCACAAUGGGGGAAACCCUGAUGCAGCGACGCCGCGUGAGUGAAGAAGUAUUUCGGUAUGUAAAGCUCUAUCAGCAGGGAAGAUAAUGACGGUACCUGACUAAGAAGCCACGGCUAACUACGUGCCAGCAGCCGCGGUAAUACGUAGGUGGCAAGCGUUGUCCGGAUUUACUGGGCGUAAAGGAUGCGUAGGCGGAUACUUAAGUCAGAUGUGAAAAUCCCGGGCUUAACUUGGGAACUGCAUUUGAAACUGGGUAUCUAGACUGCGGGAGAGGAAAGUGGAAUUCCUAGUGUAACGGUGAAAUGCGUAGAGAUGAGGAAGAACACCAGUGGCGAAGGCGACUUUCUGGACCGUAACUGACGCUGAGGCAUGAAAGCGUGGGGAGCAAACA
RNAcentral lists this ribosomal RNA (394 nucleotides) under uncultured bacterium. RNAcentral's name for it is "bacterial SSU rRNA". It matches the Rfam family "Bacterial small subunit ribosomal RNA", at positions 363 to 774 of the family's 1533-position model. The record is from RNAcentral.